CCUCUUUAGGAUACCAAAGCUCUUCCCAUGCCACCUUAGCUUUUGUUGGUCUGAAAUCUGAUUUGGAGAGCCCGACCACAAAAAAGUAGUGCACAUACUUUCAAUUUCAUCCAGACAAGCUUUAGGAAGAAUGAAAGUUGGCUCCAGAAGUUUACAAUACUAGAGAUAAUAGACUUGAUUAAUUGUAAACGACCAGCAUAUGAGAGACUUGUUGCGCCAAGAGAUCAUCCUCUUACGUACUAUGUCUAUCAAAGUUCCAUAGUCCUGCUUUGUGGGGGCCUUAGUGAUGAAAAGCAUACCCAUAU
This 305-nucleotide long non-coding RNA is filed under the name Brassica napus (rape). RNAcentral's name for it is "long non-coding RNA (BNAP_LNC008107)". The record is from RNAcentral. Lineage: Eukaryota; Viridiplantae; Streptophyta; Magnoliopsida; Brassicales; Brassicaceae.